AACUUUCUACAAUGUAUCUCGUGGUUCUGGCGUCGAUGAAGAACGCAGCGAAAUGCGAUAAGUAAUGUGAAUUGCAGAAUUCAGUGAAUCAUCGAAUCUUUGAACGCACAUUGCGCCCCGUGGUAUUCCGCGGGGCAUGCCUGUUCGAGCGUCAUUUCAACCCCUCAAGCUUCGGCUUGGUCUUGGAGCCUGCGGUCUCGCAGCCCCUAAACUCAGUGGCGGUGCUAUUGAGCUCUGAGCGUAGUAAAUCUCCUCGCUAUAGAGCCUCGGUAGUUGCUUGCCAACAACCCCCAAUUUUUAUCAGGUUGACCUCGGAUCAGGUAGGGAUACCCGCUGAACUUAAGCAUAUCAAUAAGCGGAGGCU
Molecule: unclassified non-coding RNA, 364 nt
Filed under: uncultured Angulospora
Lineage: Eukaryota; Fungi; Ascomycota
Description: sequence contains ITS2
Rfam family: 5.8S ribosomal RNA (bases 1-154)
Source: RNAcentral